GCUCUCAUACUCUUAUUCCUGCGUUCUGUUUUCAGAGGUGUCGGGACGGUAUCGUCGGUAUUUCCAUUCCUGAUUUUGGUAGAAGUACUCCGCAAUUUAUGGACGGUAAAAAGGAUCCACAUGAUGUUUUCAUGUAUCAAAACGGCUUUCAGAAUGGGCAUCGGAGGACGCCAUCGUCCUCGAGCCUUGGCAGUGAGUCGCUGGACCGACCAAUGCGGGUGUGUGUUGCAACCUGCAAUCGAGCAGAUUACUCCAAGUUAGCACCAAUCAUGUUAGGGUUAAAAGAAGAUAAAGACUUCCAGCUGCAGGUUAUUGUGAUGGGAUGCCAUCUUAUUGAUGAUUAUGGUUCAACUUAUCGUAUGAUAGAACAAGACAAGAUAAAGAUUGAUGCCAAACUUCACACGAUAGUCAGAGGUGAAGACGAAGCCGCUAUGGUGGAAUCGGUUGGUCUUGCACUUGUCAAGCUACCAGACAUAUUUCUACGACUCAAACCUGACAUCCUGAUAGUUCAUGGUGAUCGAUUUGAUGCUUUGUCUACAGCCACAGCAGCCGCACUGAUGAACAUACGAAUCAUUCAUAUAGAAGGUGGCGAAAUCAGUGGAACGAUUGAUGAUUGUAUACGACAUUCCAUCACAAAAUUAGCUCAUUAUCAUGUGUGUUGCACCGAGCGUGCCAGGGGUCGGCUCCAAGCGAUGUGCGAGGACAAUGAAAGGAUUCUCCUUGCCGGCUGUACAUCGUAUGAUAUGCUGCUGAAAUCGAAUACAAAAAAUUGCCAACUUAUUAUUGAUAGAUGGGUUGAAAAAGGCGUGAAACCAAAAGAGUAUAUCAUAGCAUUGCAACAUCCUGUGACUACAGAUCUUCACAAUUCUCUGAAAAUGUUCGACCUAACCUUGGAAGCACUCCUGGAAUUUGGCAAAAAGACCGUAUUGUUGUUCCCGAACAUCGACGCAGGUAGCAAAGAUAUGACGCGUAUCUUACGUCGAAAAAAGAUAGAAAACCAUCCCAACUUCAGCACAGCCAAGCAUAUUCCUUUUGAAGAAUUCAUUGUCUUGGUAGCCAACUGUGCGUGUAUAAUCGGUAAUAGUAGUGCUGGAGUAAGAGAGGCUGGAGCGUUUGGUACACCGGUUAUAAACCUUGGAUCUCGACAGACCGGUAGAGAAACAGGUGAAAAUGUAAUGCAUUGUCGUGAUGCCGACACUAAAGAAAAGAUACUCCAUGCUUUAGAACUACAGUAUCAGAAACAAUAUCCACCGUCAUAUAUCUACGGAGACGGGCAUGCUGUGUCUCGGAUAAUAAAAUUUAUGAAAGAACUGGAUGUUAUUGAUAGUAUACAGAAACAGUUUAUCUUCCCACCAAUGCCAGACGGUGUCAGCCAAGACAUAGAUCAUAUCUUAGAAAUUCAAAGUGCCAUAGCUGUUGAUCUCGGUGGAACCAAUCUCAGAGUGUCUAUUGUUAGCAAAGCUGGAGAAAUAAUGCAUAUGAUGUCUAAACCUACACCCAGUGACAACACAGCACGAAUGGAAUCUUUAUUAACCUUGUUAGUGGAUGCCUCUCAGAUUGCUACUAAACUCAACUGUAGAGUAUUAGGAGUGGGUGUGAGUACAGGUGGUAGAGUGAAUCCACACGAAGGAUUGGUCAUGCAUUCCACUAAGUCAUUAGAGGGUUGGAGUGCAAUUGAUUUGAGGACCCCGAUUUCAUCAGCUUUACACUUACCGGUAUGGGUUGAUAAUGAUGGAAACUGUGCGGCAUUAGGAGAAAGAAAGUUUGGACAUGGUAAAGGGAAGGAAGAUUUUCUUGCCAUUGCUACAGGAACAGGAAUAGGUGGUGGUUUGGUUUUGAACGGUCGCCUUGUUCAUGGCAGUAAUUUCUGUGCAGCUGAGCUCGGUCAUAUUGCUGUUAGUAUUGAUGGUCCUGCCUGUAUGUGUGGAAGUUCUGGAUGUGUAGAAGCUUACAGUUCGGGGUUAGCUCUCAUGAGAGAAGCUAAGAAACUCCAUCAAGCUGGUGAGUUAAUAGUUGAUGGUAUGAAAAUGACACGAAUGAAAUCAUAUCUGCUAAACAUCUUAUACAAGCAGCAAAAUUGGGUAACAAGAAAGCCGAGAAAAUAAUUCACCUUGGUGGUGAGGCUUUAGGUACCGCUGUUAUCAGUAUUCUGCAUCUACUGAACCCAACCUUAGUCGUCUUGUGUGGAGUCUUAGCGCCAACAUACGUCGACAUUGUCAGAGAGACAAUUGAGAACAAAGCGUUGCCAUCAGCACGUGGUGUCAAAGUACAAGUGUCUCUGUUAAAAGAACCAGCAUUGAUGGGAGCAGCCAGUCUGGUCUUGGAGUAUGCCACAAGACGAAUUUACUAAUAAUUGUUAUGACUAAACUCUUGAUACUGCCAUUCCCACUAUCUAUCUUUAAAGCACUGUGGCUGUACUUGUGUUAACACAUCAGCAGCAGUGAACUAGUAGCAUACCAAAAAUACUGUAGUCCCAAGGCUUCUAUAGAGUGGCAUGCUCUGUAUACUGUCUGCUUAUUUCAACAUUGUCAGACAAAUUAUGGGGACCCUUGUGGCGGUAUUAAAUCUUUCUGUAUGUAACAGUGUCAAAACGCAUUUCUGUAUCUUUCUACGACCAGGAAUUCCAUUUGUAAAUCUUUAAAUAACAUAAAAACAAAACCAUGGUCGCCAUCAUCUGACAGGAAUCGCAUGUUUUCUAUUGUGAAUAUAAUAUAAACCAAGUUAAGUUACAUAUACCCAUAUCAAUAAUGCUAAAUUGUUUUGAUGAUAAUACCUGCAUACUCAUUUUAGCACUGGUAUUGAGUUGUGCAUGCUUGGUGUUCUUAAAAUUUCAACCAACAAAUAAUUUUCAAUUGCAUUGAGAUACAAUUAUGCAAACCUGUAGUCUUUUUAUUGAAUACAUACAACACAGUUUUAGCCUUGAACAGUCACUCUGUGUGUGAUAAGGUGUUUUCAGGUUUUGUGAUACAUGGUAUAAAAAUUGCUUGUUAAUUCAGUCCUCUGUGUAAUAUACAAAUAAUGUAAUAAUAACUUCUGUGUCUACAUGUUGUAUAAUUGUAGGUAUUUAAAGUGAAUAUCAUAUUUUGUUAAAUAAUAUAUUGAAUAUGAAAAUAAAAAAAAAUCUUCUGAUUUUCCUUCAUAAAAUACUGCUCCAUAGCAAGUACCUCAAAUGGAAUCCUUUACAAAAUUAUAUACUCGUUAAUAGAUCAUACAAAUUUUAAUAAAAAAUAAAUUUAUGAUAACUAUCGAGUGGUAUAUUGGUUUUGUGUUUGCUCCUAUUUAUCAUGUAUUUUUACUUUAUUUUAUUGUAUUCGCCUUUGUAUGUGAUGGAUUUUUUUUCGCAAUAACACUUACCCCCACAUCCUGACUCUAUUUAUUGUAUUUAUUUUUCUAGUUGUGUGUCUUAUUAUUCAAAAGUUCUUUGUUACGAGUAUGCGGUAUUGUGCCAUUGAAGUUUCAAUCGUGGUAGAAUUGUAGUUAUAGUAUUUUAGCAAUUCAAUUAACAAUUUGUAUAAUAUUGGUGCAUUAUUAGGAAUUUAUUUACACUGACUCCCUGAUUAUCCAGUUACCACUUGAGAUCUGCAUUUCUGUUUUUAGAAGUGUUAUCUUCAUCCCUAUUAAUUGACUGGAUCUAUUAAAAUAGUGUUUGCUCGAGAGUGGGCAAUAACUGGUGUCAACUGUAGACAAAUCUCCCCUACUAUAAUACUAUGCAAUGUACGAAUAGUAUAGUAAUAAGUAACAUCUAUUUCAUGUGCAAAGUGGGUUUAUAUACUUCAGGUCACUUUGAAUAUGUUUCAACGAGAUGAGAUUCAAAUUUGAACCAAGCAUCCUGAUCUUGUGUUGUAGUCAGCCAUGUUGAAAUUUUAUGAAAUGCCGAAAACUCAACUAACUGACAAAUGAAGUCUUGGUUUGUUCUUGAGGUUCAGGACAUCUCUGCAGCUGGAAACUGUCAUGAAAAUAAAACUAUUUGAAAACAUUUUGUAAAAAUUGGCAGUAAAAUCACCUGUCUUUGUCAUCAUGGAAUCGAUACUAACUUGUAAACUUUAAUUUGAAAAUUUGUUGAGGCUUUCACCCAUUUUACAGGGUCUUCCAUAGUUGUCCAUUUUGUUAAUGUACUUUAUUUUGAGUAGAAUAUGAUUUGUGACUGACCUGAAGGCUUCAUUUACACAGUCUGUACUGUAUAUUUAAUGGUCACAUGUCACAUACAUGAUACAGAUGGCAGUGUUACCUCGCGUGUUAACUACUGUGAAUGAUGUAAUCAGUGUAUGCAUGUGACCAGUAAAGAUUUAGUUGUACAGUUCUCUUGUAUGCUAGAACUUUAAUAACGUCACAGUAGCAUAGAGUAGGUUGUGCUAUUUGUUGUAAACACUUGCUAGGUGGUUUAAUAUUUCAAUCAUUCACUCUGUAUUAUGGAGCAUGAUAUUAUUAUUGUUCAUUUUGUGAACUCUUUAGAAUCUAUUCUGCAAUAAAACUCACUGAUAAUUUCAGACAA
Molecule: non-coding RNA, 4492 nt
Organism: Saccoglossus kowalevskii
Lineage: Eukaryota; Metazoa; Hemichordata; Enteropneusta; Harrimaniidae
Source: RefSeq, a predicted model, not a curated record